This 72-nucleotide transfer RNA is filed under the name Ictidomys tridecemlineatus (thirteen-lined ground squirrel). RNAcentral's name for it is "Spermophilus tridecemlineatus (thirteen-lined ground squirrel) tRNA". It matches the Rfam family "tRNA". Rfam says of the family: Transfer RNA (tRNA) molecules are approximately 80 nucleotides in length. Their secondary structure includes four short double-helical elements and three loops (D, anti-codon, and T loops). Further hydrogen bonds mediate the characteristic L-shaped molecular structure. tRNAs have two regions of fundamental functional importance: the anti-codon, which is responsible for specific mRNA codon recognition, and the 3' end, to which the tRNAs corresponding amino acid is attached (by aminoacyl-tRNA synthetases). tRNAs cope with the degeneracy of the genetic code in two manners: having more than one tRNA (with a specific anti-codon) for a particular amino acid; and 'wobble' base-pairing, i.e. permitting non-standard base-pairing at the 3rd anti-codon position. Lineage: Eukaryota; Metazoa; Chordata; Mammalia; Rodentia; Sciuridae. The record is from Rfam by way of RNAcentral.
GGGGGUGUGGUUCAGUGUUAAAGAACUUGCUUAGUGUGUACAAGGCCCUGGGUUUAAUCCCCAGCAACACCA